Drosophila montana is the source of this 1601-nucleotide long non-coding RNA. RefSeq lists it as uncharacterized. The record is from RefSeq and is a predicted model, not a curated record. NCBI's taxonomy places the organism in Eukaryota, Metazoa, Arthropoda, Insecta, Diptera, Drosophilidae. The transcript is spliced from 2 exons.
UUAGUAUUUGGAAUGCAAAACAAAAUCUAUAUGCGGAUCAAGGUCAGCUGGUCAAGAAAUAAGUAAAAAUUAGAAAUACAUCUCAAAGUUUGUGGGACUAUAAAAGAGCACUGGUGGAUACUAUAACUUCUGGGUAAUUUUCCUCAUCGCACUUGGAGAGUAUUAUCAUCAUAAAAGCUAUUCAACUUAAUCCGUUUCUUAAAAGCCAUACUAUAUCCGGGAUAUAACAGUCUGGAGAAUAAAAAUAACAAGGUUCGAACUCGCAACUAACCGCACUACCUGCCGACGCCUCUACCCAACAGCCACACCAAUUAUUGAGUCUUAAUGAGAAAAAAACAAAUUUAAAUAAAAGCACAGAAAACAAUACAAUCGCAAUUGCAAUGCUGUUGAUAGAAUUCAAAGCAGACGCGCAUGAAUGUGUGUGUGUUCAUGCAUACAGAAACUCUUGGAAUUUGCGCUAGCUGCUGCUAACACGUGCGCACAUAACUUUUGUGUUUCUUAACCGAUCUUAAUGAAAUUUUCGACAGUACAUCUUAUUAAAGAAUAGAAUAUAGAAUAUUUGUGUAUUCUCAAAAAGUCAAUUGCAUAUAAAUUGUGGCUUAAAUUGAUGGGCAAUACAAGUUGGAUAAUUAACUUGAUUUAUAGCUUUGUGGUGGUAGCGGGGAGGUAGCGAUAGAUAGAAAAUGAAAGAUACUUCUAUAUAUAUAUAUACUAUUCUAGAAGACUCUAGCUCAUAUUAGUUGCCGAAAUUGCUCAAAAAAACAGGAUUUCGAUAUCGAUUUAAAUCGAUUACUUUGAAACGGGACAAGUUAUCGAAUAUCGCAAACAAACUCGAUCUGCGCGGGCUCUAGGAGGACCUACAGCUUAAGCUUUCAAGUCUCUAGCUCUUAUAGGUUCUGAGACCAUUGCGUUCAUACAUACGGACAGACGGACGCACAGACGGACGUACAGACAGACGGACAUGGCUAGAUCGACUCGGCUAUUGAUGCUGAUCAAGAAUAUAUAUACUUUAUGGGGUCGGAUAUGCUUCUUUCUGCCUGUUACAUACAUUUGUACAAAUACAUUAUACCCUGAUCUUUAAACUUCAGAAGAAAAUGUUAAGGUAAAAGUGAAAUUUAAAAUUUAACUCUGGAUCAAUUUUAUAUAUAAUUAUUUAUUUAUAAAUUUCUUUAUGGACGUCUAACAUACAAAGCAUCUAAUAUAGUUCCUCGUAAUAAGUUUUUAUUCUUUUAAUUUCUGCCUUGUUAGGAAUUAUGAAAAAAUAGGUAAGAAGUUAUGAAAGAAGAAGGUAAGAACAGAGUUGUUGCAGAUGGACAUUAAAACGGAUAUAGUUGAAAAUCAAUACAUCCGUUUUCACUUUGUGGGGAGUAACAUGAGUUAUCAAAUCUAUAAUAAUAUUUCUCAAUUCUCGCAAGCCGUGAAGUUGUCUAAUACAGAUAUUUGCGAUGUGUGUUGGCUGUGUGGAAGGAAAUUGAGGCUCUAGCUCUUAUACUAUGAAAGAUCACAAGCAUCGAUUCCAAACAAAAAAGAUAUCUGUUUAGGUCCUUUGAAUAAAGGAUUGAAAGAGUUAUAUUAAUUAAAAAUCAAUUAUUGAUAUCAUA